AGAGUUUGAUCCCGGCUCAGGACGAACGCUGGCGGCGUGCUUAACACAUGCAAGUCGAACGAUGAAGCUCUUCGGAGUGGAUUAGUGGCGAACGGGUGAGUAACACGUGGGAAAUCUGCCCUGCACUCUGGGACAAGCCUUGGAAACGAGGUCUAAUACCGGAUAUGACCUUCCUCUGCAUGGGGGUUGGUGGAAAGCUCCGGCGGUGCAGGAUGGUCCCGCGGCCUAUCAGCUUGUUGGUGGGGUAAUGGCCUACCAAGGCGACGACGGGUAGCCGGCCUGAGAGGGCGACCGGCCACACUGGGACUGAGACACGGCCCAGACUCCUACGGGAGGCAGCAGUGGGGAAUAUUGCACAAUGGGCGAAAGCCUGAUGCAGCGACGCCGCGUGAGGGAUGACGGCCUUCGGGUUGUAAACCUCUUUCAGCAGGGAAGAAGCGCAAGUGACGGUACCUGCAGAAGAAGCACCGGCUAACUACGUGCCAGCAGCCGCGGUAAUACGUAGGGUGCGAGCGUUGUCCGGAAUUAUUGGGCGUAAAGAGCUCGUAGGCGGCUUGUCGCGUCGAGUGUGAAAGCCCGGGGCUUAACCCCGGGUCUGCAUUCGAUACGGGCAGGCUUGAGUGUGGUAGGGGAGAUCGGAAUUCCUGGUGUAGCGGUGAAAUGCGCAGAUAUCAGGAGGAACACCGGUGGCGAAGGCGGAUCUCUGGGCCAUUACUGACGCUGAGGAGCGAAAGCGUGGGGAGCGAACAGGAUUAGAUACCCUGGUAGUCCACGCCGUAAACGGUGGGAACUAGGUGUUGGCGACAUUCCACGUCGUCGGUGCCGCAGCUAACGCAUUAAGUUCCCCGCCUGGGGAGUACGGCCGCAAGGCUAAAACUCAAAGGAAUUGACGG
This 893-nucleotide ribosomal RNA is filed under the name uncultured bacterium. RNAcentral describes it as "bacterial SSU rRNA". It matches the Rfam family "Bacterial small subunit ribosomal RNA", at positions 8 to 916 of the family's 1533-position model. The record is from RNAcentral.